AUUGAACGCUGGCGGCAGGCUUAACACAUGCAAGUCGAGCGGGGGAAGGUAGCUUGCUACCGGACCUAGCGGCGGACGGGUGAGUAAUGCUUAGGAAUCUGCCUAUUAGUGGGGGACAACAUCUCGAAAGGGAUGCUAAUACCGAAUACGUCCUACGGGAGAAAGCAGGGGAUCUCUGGACCUUGCGCUAAUAGAUGAGCCUCAGUCGGAUUAGCUAGUUGGUGGGGUAAAGGCCUACCAAGGCGACGAUCUGUAGCGGGUCUGAGAGGAUGAUCCGCCACACUGGGACUGAGACACGGCCCAGACUCCUACGGGAGGCAGCAGUGGGGAAUAUUGGACAAUGGGGGGAACCCUGAUCCAGCCAUGCCGCGUGUGUGAAGAAGGCCUUAUGGUUGUAAAGCACUUUAAGCGAGGAGGAGGCUACUUUAGUUAAUACCUAGAGAUAGUGGACGUUACUCGCAGAAUAAGCACCGGCUAACUCUGUGCCAGCCGCCGCAGUAA
RNAcentral lists this ribosomal RNA (501 nucleotides) under uncultured bacterium. RNAcentral's name for it is "partial 16S ribosomal RNA". It matches the Rfam family "Bacterial small subunit ribosomal RNA", at positions 30 to 523 of the family's 1533-position model. The record is from RNAcentral.